AAACUUCCUUCUCACCCAACCCUUCUCGCGCCGACGCCUACCCCUCGCGCUCGACUGUGCCCUAACCGCCGGCCCCGGCGAUUUCUUCCUCGCUGAAACCUGAAAUCCCUCGGCCACUUCUCCUCUCCUCUGCCUCCCGAAUUUUUUCUCCCUCUCCACAGCCAAGUGACCCCGAGCCCUAGCCGCGUCACCGCCACUCCGACCCGACGUCGAGCCCUAGGUGCCGACGCCCUCUCCGAUCACCUCACGCGCGCCACCGGUGACGGUCAUCUUCCUCUUCUUCUUUCCGAGACACUGCCGAACCACCUCUGCCUGCCACCGGUCUGAUCUAGCGCCGGCCAAACUCCUCUGCCCUAGUUUGUAUUCGGCGCCACUGCCGUCUCUCGACCUGAACCAGCGAUGUUGUCGCCUGUGCCCUAGCGCCAGCGGCCGAAUUCGUCUGUGCCCUAGAACCGAUCUGGCCAUCUCCGACUACUCAGGAGCAAGUAGUGCCGAGUUCUUCCUCUGUUCCAGCCUGAAGAAAAGGGUCGAUUGGGGGGUAUAUUGUUUUGGAAAUCCACAACCCCAACCUCGCUCCAGUCAGGGCUACUGGCAGCAAGUGGUCUCCUGCUGUGGAUCACCGGCAGACCAUCCGGAUUUGGGUGAGUCUUGAUGCUAUUUCA
This is a long non-coding RNA of Zingiber officinale, 662 nucleotides long. RefSeq lists it as uncharacterized. NCBI's taxonomy places the organism in Eukaryota, Viridiplantae, Streptophyta, Magnoliopsida, Zingiberales, Zingiberaceae. The transcript has 3 exons. The record is from RefSeq and is a predicted model, not a curated record.